Molecule: ribosomal RNA, 857 nt
Filed under: Bacillus toyonensis
Lineage: Bacteria; Bacillati; Bacillota; Bacilli; Caryophanales; Bacillaceae
Description: bacterial SSU rRNA
Rfam family: Bacterial small subunit ribosomal RNA
Source: RNAcentral
CAACCGUGAAGGUCAUUGGAAACUGGAGACUUGAGUGCAGAAGAGGAAAGUGGAUUUCCAUGUGUAGCAGGUGAAAUGCGUAGAGAUAUGGAGGAACACCAGUGGCGGAAGGCGACUUUCUGGAUCUGUAACUGACACUGAAGGCGCGAAAGCGUGGGGAGCAAAACAGGAUAGAUACCCUGGUAGUCCACGCCCGUAAAACGAUGAGUGCUAAGUGUUAGAGGGUUUCCGCCCUUUUAGUGCUGAAGUUAACGCAUUAAGCACUCCGCCUGGGGAGUACGGCCGCAAGGCUGAAACUCAAAGGAAUUGACGGGGGCCCGCACAAGCGGUGGAGCAUGUGGUUUAAUUUCGAAGCAACGCGAAGAACCUUACCAGGUCUUGACAUCCUUUGACAACCCUAGAGAUAGGGCUUCUCCUUCGGGAGCAGAGUGACAGGUGGUGCAUGGUUGUCGUCAGCUCGUGUCGUGAGAUGUUGGGUUAAGUCCCGCAACGAGCGCAACCCUUGAUUUUAGUUGCCAUCAUUUAGUUGGGCACUCUAAGGUGACUGCCGGUGACAAACCGGAGGAAGGUGGGGAUGACGUCAAAUCAUCAUGCCCCUUAUGACCUGGGCUACACACGUGCUACAAUGGACGGUACAAAGAGCUGCAAGACCGCGAGGUGGAGCUAAUCUCAUAAAACCGUUCUCAGUUCGGAUUGUAGGCUGCAACUCGCCUACAUGAAGCUGGAAUCGCUAGUAAUCGCGGAUCAGCAUGCCGCGGUGAAUACGUUCCCGGGCCUUGUACACACCGCCCGUCACACCACGAGAGUUUGUAACACCCGAAGUCGGUGGGGUAACCUUUUGGAGCCAGCCGCCUAAA